AAGAAAAUUGAGCCUCUUUACGAAAUGUUGAAUUCAGAUUAUCAAAUAAUGUGCAGGACAUGCUUGAUAAUUCAAUUGAUCAAGAAAUGAUUCUUGGUCCAAGUGGUAGUUGUGAAUCCCAAAAUCCUAUUGAGGAAUCUGAACUUCAAUUAUGUAAGAGUACCAGAAAAGGUGUUCCUAAACGAUCUUAUGAGAUUGAGGAUUAUAUCUUCCUGGUAUCUCCCACAGAAUUGGAUGAACCUAAUUUUGUGAUUAAGGCUUUAUCAAGUCCUGAAAAAAGAUGAAUGGAUAAAAAUGAUGAAAUAAGAAUUAGAGUCUAUGAAAAUCAAUAAAGUCUGGGAUCUAGCUGACCUUCCUUCUGGGCAUAAAGCUAUUAGGAACAAGUGGAUUCUCAAAGUUAAACGUAAAUCAGAUGGGUCAAUAGAAAGGCACAAAGCAUUAUUGGUGGCAAAAGGUUUUACUCAAGAAGCUGGAAUAGAUUAUGAGGAAACUUUUUUACCAGUUGUGAAAUUUACCUCAAUUCGAUUGCUUUUGGCUAUAGUUGCACGUUUAGAUUUAGAAUUACACCAAAUGGACGUGAAGACUGCUUUUCUCAAUGGAGAACUAAAAGAAGAAAUCUACAUAGAACAACCUAUAGGUUUUGUUGUUAAAGGCCAAGAAAAGAGGGUUUGAAAAUUAAACAGAUCAAUAUAUUGCCUUAAGCAGUCUUCAAGGCAGUGGUACCUAAGAUUUCAUAAGAAAGUGAUUUCAUUUGAUUUCACCAUGAUCGAUGAAAACCAUUGCAUCUAUGUGAAAAAAGUCCAAUGAAAUAUUUGUGAUUCUUUCGCUUUAUGUGGAUGAUAUUUUAUUAGCUAGAAAUAAUUUGGAGUGUGUAAAAACAGUUAAUUAUGGCUCUUAAAGUCAUUUGACAUAAAAGAUAUGGGUGAAGCAGACUAUAUAUUGGGUGUUAAAAUUCAAAGAGACCGUUCCAAGAAAAUUUUGAGUCUAUCUCAAGAAACAUACAUAAUGAAAAUUUUGGAACGUUUUCGAAUGAAUAGUUGCAAAUCCAUGGAUACUCCUAUAGCGAGAGGUGAAACUUUAAGCCUUGAAAUGUGUCCAAAGACUGAAAAAGAAAAAGAAGGCAUGUCGCGAGUACCAUAUUCCAGUGAAGUUGGGAGUUUGAUGUACGCUAUGAUGUGUACUCAUCCAGACAUUUGUCAUGCCAUAGGUCUGGUUAGCAGGUAUCAAUCUAAUCCUGGUAGAAUCUUUCGAUACCUGAAGGGAACUGCAGAUUAUUCACUAUGCUAUAGUGGAUCCAAUUUAUUCAUAAGAGGUUAUACAGAUUCUUGGGCUGGUGACCAGUAUGAUAGAAAAUCAACUUUCGGUUAUGCCUUCUUGCUAAAUGGUGGUGCAAUUUCGUGGAAAAGUAAGAAACAAACUUGCAUAGCCCUGUCAACUAUGGAAUCAGAAUUUGUGGCUUGUGCAUCUGCAAUAUAAGAAGUUGUUUGGUUGAAGAGAUUCUUUGAGCAUUUGAACAUCGCAAAGAAUUCUAAGGGUCCCAUGAUUUUAUAUUGUGACAGUCAAGCGGCUAUCGCAUAUACGAAGGAUCCUAAAUAUCACAGCAAGACCAAGAACAUUGAUAUUAAGUAUAACUUUAUAAGAGACAUAGUAGCAAGUGGAGAAAUAAUUUUACAAUACAUUCCUAUAUAAGAAAUGAUAGCUGAUCUCUUUACUAAGGCAAUAUCUAGAGACUUGUUUGAGAAACAUGUUAUGGCUCUAGGAUUACGUUGGAUAUAAUUAUGUUUAUGUAUUGUAGAUGACUUAAUUAUGAUUAUUAUCAAUAUAAGAAUCUUGAAUUUAUGUUCAAUCUCAUAUGCAUGCGAAAAUGUGUUUUAUUAAUAUAGUGUGUCGAACAAAUCGCGAGAUUGGCUCUCUCAUACGAGCAAUCACCUCUUAUGUUGAGGAACGUGAAGAGAAAAGUUCCACCAUAAGAUAAUGACUUAUUUUGUAAAGACGGAUGUGAGUUCCUGUAAUAAUAUGGAUUUGAGGAUUAUUAAAGAAAGAAACUCGGGUUAGACAUUUGGAGGUGUCUAGACCUAGACUGUACGAUGUUGAAUGACUAAAAGAAUGAGACACACGCACAAAUAUAAGGUGAUAACAUUGUAGCACGUGUUUCAUACCAAGUGUGCUUAGUGACCAAUGGGUUAAUGAAAGAAUGAAUCCCUGCUUCUUCAUUGUGUGAGACCCUAAAAAGUUAUUUUAACUUAUCAUUUAAAUACCCUUAGACCUUUAACUAUUUCUUGAAGUUUAGAUCGGUGUUGCUACUUUAGCAUGUUACUAAUAGCCAUGAGAGAUUCGGCAAUGCGGUGCAUGUCUAAGAAAGCAGUUGAUUUGGAACAGAUAUAUUCGAAUAGAAAGGGAAGACGAUUAAAAUGAAUAUUUUAACUUAUUUACACAAGCCGGCUAUUACACUAACCAUAUAAGAGUCAAGUGUAAUUGUGUAUAUAAAGUUAAUCAUGAACUCGAGUUCACCUCCUUUAGAGGAUGAGGGAUCGGAUAAGUAACUACUGAAGUAGUGAAUGAUGUUUGGGGUAUUGUGAGUAUUAGUAUCCUCAUAUUAGUAGAGAAUUCUUUCCACAAGUGAUUGGAUUCCUAAAUGUAGCUUAUAAAACCUUAAAGGUAAAGCUCGUGAUGCUCACAGGUCGCACGAACUAUUUGCCCGAUGAAUUGGUGAUUUGUUGAUGUCGUACUGGUGCGGGUCUAGUCCACCGUGUGCGAAGUGGGAUAUGUUAGAUUACCUUUAUGGGUCACCCAUGUGGACCGACCCGACCCAGUCUCUAUUGUUUUAAUUAUAUGAUAAAUGGAAGAUAAGCAGGUAGCAUUUUAAAAUUUGAAAAAUAAGGGGGAACAGUUACUAAGUAACUAUUUAUCCACCCAUAUACUCCUGUACAUAUAUGCUUCUUCCUCUGAUAAAGAAGAAAGAUAAGUGAAAAACUAAACUCUGGUAAAUAACAAAAACAUCAACAAAAAUUCAAAAAGGAGGCUUUUAGUUUGUGAAUCAACUCUCCGUUUCCAAGAGAGACGAAAAUUGACUUGAGGCUAUUGUGUUAUUAGCAAAUUCAACACUUCCGCUACAACAGAUUAAGGUACAUACACUGUUUUUACUCCGAAUUUGUUUUCAACUUUCAAUCCUAAUGUCUCUUCCACAUACAGGAAGGCUUCUUAAUUGGCAGUUUCUCCUGAUUUUGACAUAAAAAAGAUUGGUAUAAGCUCCUUAUACAGGAAGGAUCCUUAAUUGGCAGUUUCUCCUGAUUUUGACAUAAAAAAGAUUGGUAUAAGCUCCUUAUACAGGAAGGAUCCUUAAUUGGCAGUUUCUCCUGAUUUUGACAUCAAAGGAUUGGUAUAAGCUGCAUUAGCUCGCUGACUCCCAUUCAUGUCAGGUGAUUUGAUUUUACCCUGGUGUUAACUAUCAGCAGGUGACAGAGAAGGUGGAGCAAAAAUGACGGGAAGUAUGCAACUAAUACGUGAGUUCUAUGAUCUCUCAACCGCUGCAUCGCAUAUGAGGUUAUUGUUUCGUAGUAUUUUCCCACUUUGGGUUUUAAAUGGGAAUAGUUAUUUUAGCCAUCAUAUCAGUAUGAUUUACAAGUUGAAUGGCUUAAUCUAUCUGGAGGUGCGUCUGCGGUACUGAUAAUUUUCUGUUUAAUAUAUCCAAAGAGUAUUCUUCUGAAGGGAUUUACUUAUUUACUUAUGUUUCCUCGGAGAUUCUGUCGUUUUAUGCUAAAUAUCAACAAUUAAGCGGCCAUUGACUGAAGAGGUGCCACUGACUGAAGGUGCUUUAUUCUAUGAUGUCACCUUUAUGUGAUUCUGUUCUCGUGCAGACCUUGAACACAAGACUCCUGUACUCUUCUCGGAGUAGAUAGAUUUUCGGGAUUUUCAUUUUUCCCCAGUUAAAUUGAUGUCGAACUUCAAGAAUGGAUGCUCCUAUGAAGAAACCUCAGGAUAAUGGACAGAAAACCAUAAUCAGUGAUGACCUUUUUGGCUAAGAGUCUAAAAAACCAGGAGCGUCAACAAAGAUGCUGAUACAACGGAGGUGCUGGGCACAAACCAACUGGCUUCAUUACCGGUGGAUGUGCCUGUAAUUGUUGCACCUCAGGAUAGUGCACAGCCAGUGAAUGUUGCUCCUCUGGACUCUUUGACUUCAGUAACUGUCACUCCGCUGGACUCCUCAAUGCCAAUGAAUGUUGCUCCUCUGGAUUCUUCGGUUCCAGUAAAAGUGGACUCUUCAGUCCAGUGAAUGUCGCUCCCCGGGCAUAUGUAAUGCCAACGGAUGUUGCUUCUAGAGAAUGUGUGAUGACAGUGCGUGCUGCUCCUCGGGAAUCUGUCACCCGUAUUUACUAUGCGUGAAAUUGGAAAAGGGAUGCCCAAAAUGCCCAUGCAGUGAGACAGAAUGAAGUUAGUACUAGUGGUACAGUUUCGCCAGAGUUACUUCAACUGGUGGAAGUCAAGUACCAUCGUUAUCCCGAGUUGAAUAGUCGGAUGUAGCGUUGGGUAAUGUGCUUGCUUCACCUAUGACUGCAUGGAAAAAGAAUAUGGAUAUAUGAAUUCUUGUAUGAAUUGAAAAAAAAUAGUAAAUCUCUGGUUGCUUUUUGUAUUGAUAUUCAGAGAUUAAGCUCUGCCACUAUGUGACGAGGAGGUUAGGGAUUUGACCUGUGGAAGAAGUCUCUUGCAGAAAUGCGACGUAAGACUGUCUAUAGUAAUAGACCUUUGUGGCUUGAACCUUUCUCGAUCUCGUGCAUAAAAGGAACUUAGUGCA
Long non-coding RNA from Capsicum annuum, 4792 nucleotides. RefSeq lists it as uncharacterized. Lineage: Eukaryota; Viridiplantae; Streptophyta; Magnoliopsida; Solanales; Solanaceae. The record is from RefSeq and is a predicted model, not a curated record. The transcript has 2 exons.